This 467-nucleotide ribosomal RNA is filed under the name uncultured bacterium. Its description in RNAcentral is "partial 16S ribosomal RNA". It matches the Rfam family "Bacterial small subunit ribosomal RNA", at positions 29 to 507 of the family's 1533-position model. The record is from RNAcentral.
ACGAACGCUGGCGGCGUGCUUCACACAUGCCAGUCGAACGGAAAGGCCCUGCUUUUGUGGGGUGCUCGAGUGGCGAACGGGUGAGUAACACGUGAGUAACCUGCCCUUGACUUUGGGAUAACUUCAGGAGACUGGGGCUAAUACCGGAUAGGAGCUCCUGCUGCAUGGUGGGGGUUGGAAAGUUUCGGCGGUUGGGGAUGGACUCGCGGCUUAUCAGCUUGUUGGUGGGGUAGUGGCUUACCAAGGCUUUGACGGGUAGCCGGCCUGAGAGGGUGACCGGCCACAUUGGGACUGAGAUACGGCCCAGACUCCUACGGGAGGCAGCAGUGGGGAAUAUUGCACAAUGGGCGGAAGCCUGAUGCAGCAACGCCGCGUGCGGGAUGACGGCCUUCGGGUUGUAAACCGCUUUCGCCUGUGACGAAGCGUGAGUGACGGUAAUGGGUAAAGAAGCACCGGCUAACUACGUG